Molecule: ribosomal RNA, 253 nt
Filed under: uncultured bacterium
Lineage: Bacteria
Description: partial 16S ribosomal RNA
Rfam family: Bacterial small subunit ribosomal RNA
Source: RNAcentral
UACGAAGGGGGCUAGCGUUGCUCGGAUUCACUGGGCGUAAAGGGUGCGUAGGCGGUCGGGUAAGUCUGAUGUGAAAUCUCACAGCUUAACUGUGAAACUGCAUUGGAUACUAUCCGGCUCGAGGAAUGGAGGGGAGACUGGAAUACUUGGUGUAGCAGUGAAAUGCGUAGAUAUCAAGUGGAACACCAGUGGCGAAGGCGAGUCUCUGGACAUUUCCUGACGCUGAGGCACGAAAGCCAGGGGAGCAAACGGG